GUAUCCUGACUGUGCAAAGGUAGCAUAAUAAUUUGUCUUUUAAUUGGAGGAUAGAAUGAAUGGUUUGACGAAGGUAAGGCUGUCUCAUACAUAUUUAUUAAAAGUUAAUUUUUAGGUUAAAAAGCCUAAAUUAAAUUAAAGGACGAGAAGACCCUAUUAAGCUUAAAAGAAGCAUUUAAUUUUUAUUAUGCUAUGAAGAUGUAGGUGUUAGAAGUGAAAUUUUAGUUGGGGCGACUUGGGAGCAGAAAAAACCUCUUUUAAUUAGGUAAAAAUUUUAUUUUUGGCCCAAAAAUUUUGAGUUAAGAAUAAGUUACUAUAGGGAUAACAGCGUGGUUUUAUUUGAGAGUUCUAAUCGAAAAUAAGGUUCGCGACCUCGAUGUUGGAUUAAGAAGUAGUAAGGGUUGUAGAAGCUUUUAUGAUUAGUCUGUUCGACUACUAAUAUCUUACAUGAUCUGAGUUCAAACCGG
This 467-nucleotide ribosomal RNA is filed under the name Plectostoma senex. RNAcentral describes it as "Opisthostoma senex partial 16S ribosomal RNA". It matches the Rfam family "Bacterial large subunit ribosomal RNA", at positions 1936 to 2619 of the family's 2925-position model. The record is from RNAcentral. Lineage: Eukaryota; Metazoa; Mollusca; Gastropoda; Architaenioglossa; Diplommatinidae.